RNAcentral lists this ribosomal RNA (430 nucleotides) under uncultured bacterium. RNAcentral's name for it is "bacterial SSU rRNA". It matches the Rfam family "Bacterial small subunit ribosomal RNA", at positions 355 to 776 of the family's 1533-position model. The record is from RNAcentral.
UGGGGAAUCUUGCGCAAUGGGCGAAAGCCUGACGCAGCAACGCCGCGUGGGUGAUGAAGGUCUUCGGAUCGUAAAGCCCUGUCGGAGGGGAAGAUGUGGUUGCUAUCUAACAGGUAGCGAUUGUGACGGUACCCUUAAAGGAAGCACCGGCUAACUCUGUGCCAGCAGCCGCGGUAAUACAGAGGGUGCAAGCGUUGUUCGGAAUUAUUGGGCGUAAAGGGAGUGUAGGCGGUUCGUUAAGUCUUCUGUGAAAUCUACGGGCUCAGCCCGUAACGUGCAGAGGAAACUGGCGAGCUUGAGUGUCGGAGAGGAUAGGGGAAUACCCGGUGUAGAGGUGAAAUUCGUAGAGAUCGGGUGGAACACCAGUGGCGAAGGCGCCUAUCUGGCUGACAACUGACGCUGAGACUCGAAAGCAUGGGGAGCAAACAGG